GUGCAGCAGGCGCGAAAACUUUACAAUGUGCGAAAGCGACGAUAAGGGAACUCUGAGUGCCCUCCUAAGGAGGCUGUUCAGGUGUCUAAAAAGCACCUGGAGGAAGGGCUGGGUAAGACCGGUGCCAGCCGCCGCGGUAACACCGGCAGCCCAAGUGGUAGCCACGUUUAUUGGGUCUAAAGCGUCCGUAGCCGGCUGGGUAAGUUCCUUGGGAAAUUUGGCUGCUUAGCAGUCAAGCUUUCAGGGAAUACUGCCCGGCUUGGGGACCGGGAGUAGGUCAGGAGGUACUCCAGGGGUAGGGUGAGAUCCAUUAAUCCUUGGGGGACCACCGGUAGCGAAGGCGUCUGACCAGACC
Molecule: ribosomal RNA, 355 nt
Filed under: uncultured microorganism
Description: bacterial SSU rRNA
Rfam family: Archaeal small subunit ribosomal RNA
Source: RNAcentral